Molecule: ribosomal RNA, 450 nt
Filed under: uncultured bacterium
Lineage: Bacteria
Description: partial 16S ribosomal RNA
Rfam family: Bacterial small subunit ribosomal RNA
Source: RNAcentral
CCUACGGGGGGCAGCAGUCGAGGAUCUUCGGCAAUGGGGGAAACCCUGACCGAGCGACGCCGCGUGUGGGAUGAAGGCCCUCGGGUUGUAAACCACUGUCAGAGGGGAUGAAAUGCUAUGGGGUUCUCUCCAUAGUUUGACAUAUCCUCAGAGGAAGGACGGGCUAAGUUCGUGCCAGCAGCCGCGGUAAUACGAACCGUCCGAACGUUAUUCGGAAUCGCUGGGCUUAGAGGGGGUGUAAGCUGGGUUGGAAAGCCCUCGGCUUAACCGAGGAAUAGCGCUCAAUACUGCUGUGCUUGAGGGAGAUAGAGGUGAGCGGAACUUAGGGUGGAGCGGUGAAAUGCGUUGAUAUCCUAAGGAACACCUGGGGCGAAAGCGGCUCACUGGAUCUUUUCUGACGCUGAUGCACGAAAGCUAGGGUAGCGAACGGGAUUAGAUACCCUUGUAGUC